Lolium perenne is the source of this 3232-nucleotide non-coding RNA. The record is from RefSeq and is a predicted model, not a curated record. NCBI's taxonomy places the organism in Eukaryota, Viridiplantae, Streptophyta, Magnoliopsida, Poales, Poaceae.
CUAGAGCCGCCACUGCCUAGGGUUCGCCCCGCCACCGCAUCCUUCCGCGCCGCCUCCUGAUGCCGCCCUCGAUGGCGCUGACACCAAUCCCAUGCCGCUCGAUCGCGCACUGGUACUCUAGGAGGAGAUAUGGGUAGUAGAGAUUGGAGAGAUGGAUGGGGAUGCGAGGAGCUCGGCCACGGGGACUGGGAGUAGGUCAGCCACAUGGUCUGGGAGGAGCUAAGUCGCAAGACAUGAGGAGCUCGGUCAUGGAAAGGAGGGGAGCAGAAACCCGCCUCAUCGCCACCGUCUGCGACCACCAUGCACACCUCUUUCGGGGCCACUGCAGUCAAGCUCUGAUCUCUCUCUCUACCCAACUACGUCCCCAGCUUCACUCUGCCAGUGAAAAUGCAUAUCAUAUCUAUAUACCACUGAGGUGUAGUUGGUGCCUAGCAAGGCGGUGAUAUCCAAACUGAAUAAAGUGCUGACCAUGAAGAACUUGGAGAGGGAGCAACGCACAUCCUGAGUUGGAAAAAAUAAAGCCAUCAGCGUCGAUGACGUGGAGCGGGUGCGCACGAGGAUCUCGAUGUCACCGGCGUUUCCUUGGUUCCAUGGCGAGCGGUGGCCAGGUGUAGAUUGGGAAUCCUCCUCUGCAGGAUCUUCCCGAGCCCCUCAACCUGGACAUUUUCAAAGUAAUAAUCGGUAGAUCGGAACCCGCCGCAUACGUUUCCUUGUCCCAUGCUGAUUUGAAUGCUAGGAACUCUCGCAGCUGUGCCAGGCUUUGUAUCCUCCGCGAUCUGCAGCAGCAGCACCGAAGCAUGAGCAUACCAACCUUGCUAAUCAAUCCAGCAGCCUGCAUGUGCAUGAUAUUCUCUGCCCAGUUCCAAUCCUACUCCCUCACUUGCAACUUAUUUAUUUCUUGGCAUUGGUCAGUGUAGUUAUUUAUUCAUGGAUUGGUCACCUUCCAAUUAUUUGCUUCUAAUUAUUUGUGCGUUUUGUGCUCUAUUCAGAUGCGUGAAGUGAGGCUUGGUCUGAAUGUGCGAGGAGGCUGCGUACAAUGACCCAAUGUGGUCCGACCCCUCCCCGGACCCAGCGCAAAGCGGGAGCUUCAUGCACCGGGCUGCCCUUUUUUCAGAUUUAGUGUUUUUGUGGAGAACCAAAAGUAGCCUUUCCCACUGCCAGAAUUUACCCUUUUUAAAAUAAAACGCUAUUACCAUCACUAAUUCAUGAAGGAUUUUGUGCAAGUGAAGUGGCAGGGCAGGUAACUACCUCCUGAUUAAUCAUUUGUGAUCUGAAUUGUUGAUUGAUCUAUAUUAUUCUUUGAAAUAUGUCAAACUUCAACUUAAUUCCUGAUAUCUCCAGAACCUUGCAGGGUGCUACAUCAGAACCUUGCAACUGAUAUCUUUUCAUACAUCUCUACGUCCACAAAUUGUUUGCUAUGAAUUAUGUUAAUCUGGGUGGUUCUCUUCCAACUUGAUCUGAGAGAGGGAAAUAAACAUUGAAAACUAUUAUCUUGCUUUGUGCCGAAGUACAAGAUCAGGUACUUUCUCAAAUUUUUAUUGUCCUUGUAUGUCUUAGUUUUCAUCUCACAGCAACAUGUUUGUUGAAUGUGCGGCCAUAUGCGGUACAUUAUUAUUGCUUCUCUCAUCCUAGAGAUUAAAGGACAAUCUUCGCAGCUAAAAUCACAAUGGGGGAAGUCGGUAAUACAUGUGCUCACCUGCAUUAAAUCCUAACAUGCAAAUUUAAGAAGGACCGCUGGAAUGCAAGUGAUACAAAACCAAUUCCUAAAAUUUCUUCACAAGAUUUACUCUUCAGUAAUCAUGUAUGACAAGCGGGUCAUUUGCGAGAGCACAAAACAGUACAAGCUUUUCUUAUUAGGCAACGAUGUAUUCUGCAUUGAGUAUCUUCAGCCUUUACACAGUUCAUACACUAAGCUAUACAGUUUUAUCAUUGCCAGUUUUUAUGGUGGUGAAGUGAAUCCAUAUCGUUAGAAUUGUCUUCAGCAGGUAUACACUUUUCCAGAUUGUUUCUACCACAGCCAGGGAAUGUAGGACAUCUCUCAUGAACAAAACAGUACCACUCUCUUCACACAAAUUUAUUACUCCCUCAUGAAACAGGACAUCUCUCUUCUUAACGGGCUAUUUUGUUUUUCCCGUGAUGGUAGCAGUGAGUCAGUCCUCAACUCCAGUGACUCCUACCUGUCCCAACAAUUAGGCUGGGUCUCGAAGAUAAAUCUGAUAUGGGGUCAAUGUAUCUCUUCCUAGGAUUGAUGUAUUACGAUUGGGUUGAUGAUUUUUUUUUUCUAAGAUUUGUCUGUAUGAUUUUUCACAAAUUGGGUUGGAUAUUUCUAUCGAGCUAGGUUUCACACAUUAUGUGUGCGUGGUAAGUUAUUUUGCAAUAUUCGUUCAAAGUGUCGUUGGUUCAGUAAUUUCGACUCACCAAGCAAGUGUUUAGUACUCCUUUCUACCAGGAUUCUAUAUAGUGUGUCAGUUUAUUUUGGUUCUGGCUGAUGUCAGCAUGUGGUGUAUAAACCUCCGCAUGAAAAAUGAACAACAUCUGCUAGGAAAUAAGAACGAAUAUGAGAUUCAGUGCCUUGGUUGGAAUUAGGAGUGUUGUAGUAAUGUGUCGGUCUUUGUUCCAAUGUUAGUUUGGCAGAAAAGUUACUGUGCUGGCCAUGAGUAAUUUGAAGUUACUGUGAUGGCCAUCAGCAAUUUCAAGUCCUCAUUGUCCGUGUCUGCCUCCAUUUCGUGCUUCAUGUACACUACAUCAGAGUUUCAUGUAAGUGCUUCUAAAUCUCGUUUUUGCGCUGGUUUUCCUUGCUAGCAACAGCUUAAGUGUAUGAAAUUGCAAGUUUUGUUUGAGCUAAACUCUGAACAAUCAGAGGUGCAUUGACUUCUAUUAGGAAAAGAAGAGUAUCUAAGAAUGGGAUGACCCAACCACGAAACCAACAAUUUGUAUGUUGAGGGGAAUUAUUCAUAUAGAUGAUGAUGCCCACUGCAAUCUAUUGUUUUACUGGUAUUAAUCUACAUAUCUGCAGAGUUAUUCGGAAGUUCCUUUAAUCACGUGAGUUUUUCAGAAAAAGAGGACAUGUUGUGGGUUAGCCCUUCAUUAGAUGUCUAUUAUCUUAAGUAGUAAAUAAACCAAAAAAAUUACAUUCGCUUUUCUAAAAAUAGGUACUUACAUGAAUUUUAGAUUUAGGCUCCUCUACACUACAUGUUCAUGCAGAGCUUCAUAGAAAGGUAUUUAUGCUGGC